CAGUCCCUGCUUGAGGGAAGGUCUGUUGAAAAGUUUGAAAAGGAUUUCUACAAUCAGUGAAAAGGAAGUGGGUGAUGUGUCUGGUUGGUGUUUAAGGACCAUGGGGGCAGGUCACGUUGGGGCCCUCUUUCCUGUCCACAUCUGUGCACUACAAUGACCCUGAUGCCCCAGAAGAAGUCCCAGGGUCUGAGAUUGGAUUGCAGGGUCAUGAAAUCCAACCUGGCUGACUUCCUUCUUCCCCUACCAGUAGCUACCUUGAAGACUCAGGAGAAGCUGGAGCUCAAUUGGGCACAGCUAAGUGCAUUCAUUUAGCUUCAUGGCAGUGGUUGUGGGAAAUAGGGGGAGAAGAGGCUUAUAAAUGGGGGGGGGGAGAGUGGUUUUGCUUGUCUUCAGAGAGCAUUUUCUUUUAAAUUUUGAAAGAGCAUAAGAACACAUUUUCUCUUGCCCCUUCUCUGGGGUUUUCUAGGCUUUACUGUUUAUUUUGACACUGUUUUCUUCAAGGUUUAUCUCUGAGCCCUUCCUGAGCUCCUUCCCUGCUAUUUGGAAGGAGAUAGGCAAAGUCCAGCACAAAGGAAACAAACAGAAGUGAUGGGCUGCAAAAGGCCUGCUGGUUUGGGCCACCUGCUGGAAGGCCUCAAGGCAGAGCCAGGAGACCCUUCUUUUGAAUCAGAGCCACGUGCCUACAAUCCAAAUCAAAGGUGCUUAUGGCAGUUCAAUGAGGUGUUGCUUAUGAAAUGCCCCGGAUGAGCUGGAUAUCUGGCAGACACUGAUGAGUCUGGCGCGUCUGGAUGUAAAAUUGGCUGGAGUUGCAUCAGGACCUCUCACCUAUGGAAAAGUGUGGCUCCGCUAGAAGAAGCAAAGGGCUGGAAUUGGGAAUGGAGAUGAAAGUGUGACCCCCCCUGAAGACACAGAUUAUGGAGUGGAAGAAGAAAAGAAAGAUAACGUUGAGGAUCCACACUGGGAUUAAGUCAUACUCAGUGUGGGGAAAGAAAAAUCUCAAAUAACUCAAUUGUUGAUGGAAGGAUUUAAGAAGAUGAGAAUAGGCAAAUCCUGUGGAACUAUAAAUUAUGCAAAUUUAAAGCCAUUGAAUUUGCUUUUAAAAGCACCUUGGACAAUGUAAGUAAUGUUAUUUUCUCUGUAAACAUCAUAACCUAGAAGAUUAGUUGGAUAUGAUCAGUAUGGAGUCUGUCAUUCAGAGCUUGACAAAUCAUAUUCUGCAAAAUUACUUCUUGUGAAUAACUGUUAGAUCUUUUUUUAAGGAGAUACUAAAGUCAAAACUUUGGUUAUUUUAAAUUCAACUCCAUGAUUUGUAAUUUCUGUAGACGAGCCAGAUUUGAUUUUGUCGUCUGCAAGUCUAAAGUUUAUAAUGCAUGUAAUUUGAUUUUCUUUCUCUAGAGAUAUUUUAUCUAUCUGAUAUGAGUCUUUAUCAGCUUAAGCAAAGUAAAAAUUUCCAUAAGUGUAGAAUCCCUUACUUUUAAAGACACUGUU
Non-coding RNA from Ictidomys tridecemlineatus (thirteen-lined ground squirrel), 1488 nucleotides. The record is from RefSeq and is a predicted model, not a curated record. Lineage: Eukaryota; Metazoa; Chordata; Mammalia; Rodentia; Sciuridae.